RNAcentral lists this small nucleolar RNA (135 nucleotides) under Capra hircus (goat). RNAcentral describes it as "Small nucleolar RNA SNORA70 (ENSCHIG00000008533.1, ENSCHIG00020022115.1, ENSCHIG00040025624.1)". It matches the Rfam family "Small nucleolar RNA SNORA70". From Rfam's summary of the family: snoRNA U70 seems to be exclusive to mammals and is a member of the H/ACA class of snoRNA which contain H (ANANNA) and ACA box motifs. H/ACA box snoRNAs are involved in the conversion of uridines to pseudouridines (5-ribosyluracil) a constituent of structural RNAs (transfer, ribosomal, small nuclear, and small nucleolar). Lineage: Eukaryota; Metazoa; Chordata; Mammalia; Artiodactyla; Bovidae. The record is from Rfam by way of RNAcentral.
UUGCAGCCAGUUAAGCCGACUGUGCUCUUUUCCCCAUGGGGGCCCAGUGUGCAAUGGCUGCAAAUAGCAGGCUCCUUGGUAGUGUAUGCAACCUGUUGCCUGUACAGGUUGCCCUAAGGGACCUUGGAGACAACU